Molecule: ribosomal RNA, 744 nt
Filed under: cyanobacterium enrichment culture clone 1_4_1.4.2_D02-T7
Lineage: Bacteria; Bacillati; Cyanobacteriota
Description: bacterial SSU rRNA
Rfam family: Bacterial small subunit ribosomal RNA
Source: RNAcentral
AGAGUUGAUCCUGGCUCAGGAUGAACGCUGGCGGUCUGCUUAACACAUGCAAGUCGAACGGAAUCCUUCGGGAUUUAGUGGCGGACGGGUGAGUAACGCGUGAGAAUCUGCCUUCAGGUUCGGGACAACAGCUGGAAACGGCUGCUAAUACCGGAUGUGCCGAGAGGUGAAAGCUUAAGUGCCUGGAGAUGAGCUCGCGUCUGAUUAGCUAGUAGGAGUGGUAACGGCACCCCUAGGCGACGAUCAGUAGCUGGUCUGAGAGGAUGAUCAGCCACACUGGGACUGAGACACGGCCCAGACUCCUACGGGAGGCAGCAGUGGGGAAUUUUCCGCAAUGGGCGCAAGCCUGACGGAGCAAGACCGCGUGAGGGAAGAAGGUCUGUGGAUUGUAAACCUCUUUUGAUAGGGAAGAAGACAGUGACGGUACCUAUCGAAUCAGCCUCGGCUAACUCCGUGCCAGCAGCCGCGGUAAUACGGAGGAGGCAAGCGUUAUCCGGAAUUAUUGGGCGUAAAGAGUCCGUAGGUGGGUAACCAAGUCAGCUGUUAAAUAGUGAAGCUUAACUUCAUAGAGGCGGCUGAAACUGGUUGUCUAGAGUGUGGUAGGGGUAGAGGGAAUUUCCAGUGUAGCGGUGAAAUGCGUAGAUAUUGGAAAGAACACCGGUGGCGAAAGCGCUCUACUGGGCCUGCACUGACACUGAGGGACGAAAGCUAGGGGAGCGAAAGGGAUUAGAUACCCCUGUAGUC